AUGCUAGGCAAUGUGGUGUUAAGGCUUGUACCUGGGAUCGUGUCCCUACCCGAAGUCUAAAUCCGAUUGUGGCUUUGGAUUCAUUCCAUAGCGGGUGAAAGUCCCGUGCGGGUAGGACUAUUGCAAAUCCACACGGUCCUCAGAUGUGCAUGCUUUCGAGUCGGAUUGCUUGAGAAUGCAGUCCCAAAGUGGGUGGUAAACUCCAUCCAAGGCUAAAUACUGGCACGAGUCCGAUAGUAGACAAGUACCGUGAGGGAAAGUUGAAAAGUACUCUGAAGAGAGAGUAAAUAGUACGUGAAGCCGAUUGCAGGGAAGCUGGUGGAGUCAAGCUUCGUGCUUGAGGGAUUGAUGCUGGGAGCAGGUGUGUGAUUUGGAUGUGAGGAUGGUCAACUUGGAAUAAGUUGGGCGUGUUCUGAAUGCGCUUCAAGUCAUUCCGGGUAGAGUGUUAUGAGCCGUCCUUGCUUUCCUACUCUCAGUGUUGUAUUCCUUGCUGCACAGGCCACAGUCAAUAGGUGCGCGCAGUGUGAUGGCCUAACUGUGCUUCGGUGGGUGCAAACUCUCCGGGUGCAGGAUGGCAGGUGCUGUCUUCAGUCCUUGUGGCUGUUGAUAGUUGUUGUGGUUUUGACCGGCUGGUCUUCAUACUGUGUUGUGCUUAUUGCC
Molecule: ribosomal RNA, 660 nt
Filed under: Cichlidogyrus tilapiae
Lineage: Eukaryota; Metazoa; Platyhelminthes; Monogenea; Dactylogyridea; Ancyrocephalidae
Description: partial large subunit ribosomal RNA
Rfam family: Eukaryotic large subunit ribosomal RNA
Source: RNAcentral